RNAcentral lists this ribosomal RNA (117 nucleotides) under Anaerolineae bacterium. The record is from RNAcentral. Lineage: Bacteria; Bacillati; Chloroflexota; Anaerolineae.
GUUGGUGGUUAGAGCCAUGGGGGUCCACCCGGCUCCAUCCCGAACCCGGUCGUUAAGCCCAUGAGCGCGGAUGGUACUGCACUGGAGACGGUGUGGGAGAGUACGCCGCUGCCAACA